GAUGAACGCUGGCGGCGUGCCUAAUACAUGCCAGUCGAGCGAACGGACGAGAAGCUUGCUUCUCUGAUGUUAGCGGCGGACGGGUGAGUAACACGUGGAUAACCUACCUAUAAGACUGGGAUAACUUCGGGAAACCGGAGCUAAUACCGGAUAAUAUUUUGAACCGCAUGGUUCAAAAGUGAAAGACGGUCUUGCUGUCACUUAUAGAUGGAUCCGCGCUGCAUUAGCUAGUUGGUAAGGUAACGGCUUACCAAGGCAACGAUGCAUAGCCGACCUGAGAGGGUGUUCGGCCACACUGGAACUGAGACACGGUCCAGACUCCUACGGGAGGCAGCAGUAGGGAAUCUUCCGCAAUGGGCGAAAGCCUGACGGAGCAACGCCGCGUGAGUGAUGAAGGUCUUCGGAUCGUAAAACUCUGUUAUUAGGGAAGAACAUAUGUGUAAGUAACUGUGCACAUCUUGACGGUACCUAAUCAGAAAGCCACGGCUAACUACGUG
This 497-nucleotide ribosomal RNA is filed under the name uncultured bacterium. RNAcentral describes it as "partial 16S ribosomal RNA". It matches the Rfam family "Bacterial small subunit ribosomal RNA", at positions 28 to 507 of the family's 1533-position model. The record is from RNAcentral.